GCCUGCGUGGUGUAAUGGUCAGCACACUCGGUGCGUAUUCGAGAGGUCCAAGGUUCAAGUCCUUGCAAGGACA
RNAcentral lists this transfer RNA (73 nucleotides) under Stegodyphus mimosarum. It matches the Rfam family "tRNA". Rfam says of the family: Transfer RNA (tRNA) molecules are approximately 80 nucleotides in length. Their secondary structure includes four short double-helical elements and three loops (D, anti-codon, and T loops). The record is from Rfam by way of RNAcentral. Lineage: Eukaryota; Metazoa; Arthropoda; Arachnida; Araneae; Eresidae.